Molecule: ribosomal RNA, 469 nt
Filed under: uncultured Rhodocyclaceae bacterium
Lineage: Bacteria; Pseudomonadati; Pseudomonadota; Betaproteobacteria; Rhodocyclales; Rhodocyclaceae
Description: bacterial SSU rRNA
Rfam family: Bacterial small subunit ribosomal RNA
Source: RNAcentral
GACGGGGCCCGCACAAGCGGCGGAGCAUGCGGAUUAAUUCGAUGCAACGCGAAAACCUUACCUACCCUUGACAUGUCCGGAAUCCCGAAGAGAUUUGGGAGUGCUCGCAAGAGAACCGGAACACAGGUGCUGCAUGGCUGUCGUCAGCUCGUGUCGUGAGAUGUUGGGUUAAGUCCCGCAACGAGCGCAACCCUUGUCAUUAGUUGCCAUCAUUUGGUUGGGCACUCUAAUGAGACUGCCGGUGACAAACCGGAGGAAGGUGGGGAUGACGUCAAGUCCUCAUGGCCCUUAUGGGUAGGGCUUCACACGUCAUACAAUGGUCGGUACAGAGGGUUGCCAACCCGCGAGGGGGAGCUAAUCCCACAAAGCCGAUCGUAGUCCGGAUCGCAGUCUGCAACUCGACUGCGUGGAGUCGGAAUCGCUAGUAAUCGUGGAUCAGCAUGUCACGGUGAAUACGUUCCCGGGUCUU